UACGUAGGUGGCAAGCGUUGUCCGGAAUUAUUGGGCGUAAAGCGCGCGCAGGCGGCUUUCUAAGUCCAUCUUAAAAGUGCGGGGCUUAACCCCGUGAUGGGAUGGAAACUGGGAAGCUGGAGUAUCGGAGAGGAAAGUGGAAUUCCUAGUGUAGCGGUGAAAUGCGUAGAGAUUAGGAAGAACACCGGCGGCGAAGGCGACUUUCUGGACGACAACUGACGCUGAGGCGCGAAAGCGUGGGGAGCAAACAGG
RNAcentral lists this ribosomal RNA (252 nucleotides) under Dialister succinatiphilus YIT 11850. Its description in RNAcentral is "partial 16S ribosomal RNA". It matches the Rfam family "Bacterial small subunit ribosomal RNA", at positions 524 to 776 of the family's 1533-position model. Lineage: Bacteria; Bacillati; Bacillota; Negativicutes; Veillonellales; Veillonellaceae. The record is from RNAcentral.